AUUGAACGCUGGCGGCAGGCCUAACACAUGCAAGUCGAGCGAGUGGCGAACGGGUGAGUAACGCAUCGGAACGUACCGAGUAAUGGGGGAUAACUGUCCGAAAGGACAGCUAAUACCGCAUAUUAUUCGAGCGGCCGAUGUCUGAUUAGCUGGUUGGCGGGGUAAAGGCCCACCAAGGCGACGAUCAGUAGCGGGUCUGAGAGGAUGAUCCGCCACACUGGGACUGAGACACGGCCCAGACUCCUACGGGAGGCAGCAGUGGGGAAUUUUGGACAAUGGGCGCAAGCCUGAUGCAGCCAUGCCGCGUGUAUGAAGAAGGCCUUCGGGUUGUAAAGUACUUUCAGUCGGGAGGCGUUACCGACAGAAGAAGCACCGGCUAACUCCGUGCCAGCAGCCGCGGUAAUUC
Molecule: ribosomal RNA, 406 nt
Filed under: uncultured bacterium
Lineage: Bacteria
Description: partial 16S ribosomal RNA
Rfam family: Bacterial small subunit ribosomal RNA
Source: RNAcentral